Molecule: transfer RNA, 85 nt
Filed under: Corynebacterium pseudotuberculosis
Lineage: Bacteria; Bacillati; Actinomycetota; Actinomycetes; Mycobacteriales; Corynebacteriaceae
Description: tRNA-Tyr
Source: RNAcentral
UCGUAGUACAGUAUGUAGCGCACCAUGAACAUGGAGCACGCCAGGUUGCCCGAGCGGCCAAAGGGAGCGGACUGUAAAUCCGUCG